This 253-nucleotide ribosomal RNA is filed under the name uncultured bacterium. RNAcentral's name for it is "partial 16S ribosomal RNA". It matches the Rfam family "Bacterial small subunit ribosomal RNA", at positions 524 to 776 of the family's 1533-position model. The record is from RNAcentral.
UACGUAGGGUGCAAGCGUUAAUCGGAAUUACUGGGCGUAAAGGGCGCGUAGGCGGCCUUCUAAGUCGAACGUGAAAUCCCCGGGCUCAACCCGGGAACUGCGUCCGAUACUGGAAGGCUUGAAUCCGGGAGAGGGAUGCGGAAUUCCAGGUGUAGCGGUGAAAUGCGUAGAUAUCUGGAGGAAUACCGGUGGCGAAGGCGGCAUCCUGGACCGGCAUUGACGCUGAGGAGCGAAAGCCAGGGGAGCAAACGGG